RNAcentral lists this ribosomal RNA (1398 nucleotides) under metagenome. Its description in RNAcentral is "SSU rRNA". It matches the Rfam family "Eukaryotic small subunit ribosomal RNA", at positions 3 to 1420 of the family's 1831-position model. The record is from RNAcentral.
CCUGGUUGAUCCUGCCAGUAGUCAUAUGCUUGUCUCAAAGAUUAAGCCAUGCAUGUCUAAGUUCAAGCGAAAAUAAGUGAAACCGCGAAUGGCUCAUUACAUCAGUUAUGGUUCCUUAGAUUGUACUAACUACUUGGAUAACUGUGGUAAUUCUAGAGCUAAUACAUGCGCUGGGCUCCGACCUGUGAAGGAAGGGGCGCUUUUAUUAGAUCAAAGCCAAUCGGGGUUUCGGCUCCGUAUUUCUGGUGACUCUGAAUAACAUUGCUGAUCGUACGGCCUUGUGCCGACGACGAGUCUUUCAAGUGUCUGCCUUAUCAACUGUCGAUGGUAGGUUAUGCGCCUACCAUGGUUGUAACGGGUAACGGGGAAUCAGGGUUCGAUUCCGGAGAGGGAGCCUGAGAAACGGCUACCACAUCCAAGGAAGGCAGCAGGCGCGCAAAUUACCCACUCCCGGCACGGGGAGGUAGUGACGAAAAAUAACGAUACGGAACUCAUACGAGGCUCCGUAAUCGGAAUGAGUACACUUUAAAUCCUUUAACGAGGAUCUAUUGGAGGGCAAGUCUGGUGCCAGCAGCCGCGGUAAUUCCAGCUCCAAUAGCGUAUAUUAAAGUUGUUGCGGUUAAAAAGCUCGUAGUUGGAUCUCGGUUUCACUCAGGUGGUACACCUUGCGGUGUUCACUAUCUGGGUGGACGUUUCUGUUGGUUCGCUCUUGGUGCUCUUCAUCGGGUGCCAUUUGGUGGCCAGCACGUUUACUUUGAAAAAAUUGGAGUGCUCAAAGCAGGCGUUACAGCCUGAACAUUAGUGCAUGGAAUAAUGGAAUAGGAUCUCGAUUCUAUUUCGUUGGCUUUCGGAGUCGAGGUAAUGAUUAAUAGGGACAGACGGGGGCAUUCGUACUGCGACGUUAGAGGUGAAAUUCUUGGAUCGUCGCAAGACGAACUACUGCGAAAGCAUUUGCCAAGAAUGUUUUCAUUAAUCAAGAACGAAAGUUAGAGGUUCGAAGGCGAUCAGAUACCGCCCUAGUUCUAACCAUAAACGAUGCCAACCGGCGAUCCGUCGUCGUUAAUUGAAUGACUCGACGGGCAGCCUCCGGGAAACCAGAGUGUUUGGGUUCCGGGGGAAGUAUGGUUGCAAAGCUGAAACUUAAAGGAAUUGACGGAAGGGCACCACCAGGAGUGGAGCCUGCGGCUUAAUUUGACCCAACACGGGAAAUCUCACCAGGCCCGGACACCGGAAGGAUUGACAGAUUGAGAGCUCUUUCUUGAUUCGGUGGGUGGUGGUGCAUGGCCGUUCUUAGUUGGUGGAGCGAUUUGUCUGGUUAAUUCCGAUAACGAACGAGACUCUGGCCUACUAACUAGAAGGUCUAUCCUUUAUGGGUAGGCCUCUGCUUCUUAGAGGGAC